UACAGAGGUCCCAAGCGUUGUUCGGAUUUACUGGGCGUAAAGGGUGCGUAGGUGGUCGGGUAAGUCUCAUGUGAAAUCCCGCAGCUUAACUGCGGAACGGCAUGGGAUACUAGUCGGCUCGAGGAUUGGAGGGGGGACUGGAAUUCCCGGUGUAGCAGUGAAAUGCGUAGAUAUCGGGAGGAACACCAGUGGCGAAGGCGAGUCCCUGGACAAUUACUGACGCUGAGGCACGAAAGCCAGGGGAGCAAACAGG
This 253-nucleotide ribosomal RNA is filed under the name uncultured bacterium. RNAcentral's name for it is "partial 16S ribosomal RNA". It matches the Rfam family "Bacterial small subunit ribosomal RNA", at positions 524 to 776 of the family's 1533-position model. The record is from RNAcentral.